RNAcentral lists this ribosomal RNA (538 nucleotides) under Cryptorhynchinae gen. sp. ARC0911. RNAcentral's name for it is "partial 16S large subunit ribosomal RNA". It matches the Rfam family "Bacterial large subunit ribosomal RNA", at positions 1819 to 2625 of the family's 2925-position model. Lineage: Eukaryota; Metazoa; Arthropoda; Insecta; Coleoptera; Curculionidae. The record is from RNAcentral.
GGCCUAUUGAUAAUAAUUUUAGGUCGGACCUGCCCAAUGAUUAGUUAAUUGAAUGGCUGCGGUAUAUUGACCGUACAAAGGUAGCAUAAUCAUUAGUUUUUUAAUUGAAAGCUGGAAUGAAGGGUUUGAUGAAAAAAUAACUGUCUCUGUUUAAAUUUAUUAGAAUUUUAUUUUUAAGUCAAAAAGCUUAAAUAAGUAUAGAAGACGAGAAGACCCUAUAGAGUUUUAUAAUUAUUUUUAAAAAUUAUAUUUUAGGAUUUUUUAGUUUUUAGGGAUAAUUAUUUAGUUGGGGUGACGAAAAAAUUAAAUAAACUUUUUUUAUACGAUUACAUUAAUUGAUGAGUUUUUGAUCCUUAUAAAAGAUUAAAAGAUAAAAUUACCUUAGGGAUAACAGCGUAAUUUUUUUUUAGAGUUCAAAUUAAAAAGAAAGAUUGCGACCUCGAUGUUGGAUUAAAAUAAAUUAUUGGUGUAGAGGCUAAUAAAUUAGGUCUGUUCGACCUUUGAAAUUUUACAUGAUCUGAGUUUAAACCGGUGUAAG